AACCUUAUGGACCUGCGGGCGUAUACCUGCGGAAGGAUCAUUAACCUUUCAAAUCAGGGUGCGGCGCGGCCCCCGAGGAGCGGAAACAAUCCUUGGGAGGUAUGCGGGGGCUUCGAGCCCCCCAUUCACGCACGCACGACUGCCAUCCUUACUUUACGAGCACCUUCUGUUCUCCCUCGGCGGGGCAACCUGCCGUUGGAACCGAAUAAACUCUUUUUGCAUCUAGCAUUACCUGUUCCG
Molecule: unclassified non-coding RNA, 240 nt
Filed under: soil metagenome
Description: partial contains 5.8S ribosomal RNA, internal transcribed spacer 2, and large subunit ribosomal RNA
Source: RNAcentral